UGAGAGGGCGACCGGCCACACUGGGACUGAGACACGGCCCAGACUCCUACGGGAGGCAGCAGUGGGGAAUAUUGCACAAUGGGCGCAAGCCUGAUGCAGCGACGCCGCGUGAGGGAUGACGGCCUUCGGGUUGUAAACCUCUUUCAGCAGGGAAGAAGCGAAAGUGACGGUACCUGCAGAAGAAGCGCCGGCUAACUACGUGCCAGCAGCCGCGGUAAU
This 219-nucleotide ribosomal RNA is filed under the name uncultured bacterium. RNAcentral's name for it is "partial 16S ribosomal RNA". It matches the Rfam family "Bacterial small subunit ribosomal RNA", at positions 293 to 524 of the family's 1533-position model. The record is from RNAcentral.